GCUGGGCACGGUGGCACGUGUCUGUAGUCCCAGCUAUUCGGGAGGCUGGAGGAUCUCUUGAGUCCAGGAUUUCUGGGCUGUAGUGAGCUAUGCCGAUCAUGUGUCCGAACUAAGUUUGGCAUCAAUAUGGUGACCUCCCGGGAGUGGGGGACCACCAGAUUGCCUAAGGAGGGGUGAACCGGCCCAGGUCGGAAACGAGCAGGGCCCUAGCUUGAUUAAAGGGUCAGUAUAAAAACACAAAAAGUCCCAUCAGUUUAAAACAAUAAAAAACCCCAAAAGU
Unclassified non-coding RNA from Callithrix jacchus (white-tufted-ear marmoset), 280 nucleotides. It matches the Rfam family "Metazoan signal recognition particle RNA". Rfam says of the family: The signal recognition particle (SRP) is a universally conserved ribonucleoprotein. The record is from Ensembl. NCBI's taxonomy places the organism in Eukaryota, Metazoa, Chordata, Mammalia, Primates, Cebidae.